This 57-nucleotide transfer RNA is filed under the name Rhigonema thysanophora. Its description in RNAcentral is "tRNA-Phe". Lineage: Eukaryota; Metazoa; Nematoda; Chromadorea; Rhabditida; Rhigonematidae. The record is from RNAcentral.
GUUUUGUUAGUUUAUAUUAAAAUGUGGUUUUGAAGAGACCAAGAAUUUUAUGACGCU